Long non-coding RNA from Boleophthalmus pectinirostris (great blue-spotted mudskipper), 741 nucleotides. RefSeq lists it as uncharacterized. The record is from RefSeq and is a predicted model, not a curated record. The transcript is spliced from 3 exons. NCBI's taxonomy places the organism in Eukaryota, Metazoa, Chordata, Actinopteri, Gobiiformes, Gobiidae.
UACUGGACUUUAUCAUCAGGAAAAAGCACCUAUCUUCUGAUUUUGUUUGAAGGAAUACAGUGAAGUUGGCAGUCCCCGCGCGCUUUCUUUUUGUGCUAACGUUUUUACCCACUACUGUUGAUAUAUGCGCGUUCAGGACUGGGACACUUGAAGAUUACGCUGGUUUUGACGUGGUCUGGUGGACAAUAAGAACAGGAUUAGGUGUCUCCAGUCAUCCUACUUCUCUUUACUCCAUUCUUAUGCACCACGACCUCCGCUGCACUUGGGAUGCAGCAUUGAUAAGGCUUCUGUGAACAUGACUAAGUGACAACAUGAGCUGUGAUGACUGGAACUCCACACAGCACUUCAGAUUAAGAAGCCUUGCCGCGCCACUCUAUUCACCGCUCCAGACUUCAUUAAGGAACUACUUUUUCAAUGCAGCCCUGGAGAACGUGGAAGGACACACUGAAGCUGCGUCAUUGCUCAUUGUGCCCUUGUUAUUGAGCGCCAUUGAACAAAGGAGUCAACAGAGGAGGGCUUUUCUUCAGGAAGCCGAACUGUGCGCGAAUAAUUGCUUUUUCAAUACAUUCAGGUGCCUUUUGAGAAUUUCAUCAUAAACAAGAGAACUUCAAAAGGAGCGGUCAUUACUUAAGAUAAAAUAUAUAUUACAUGUGCUUCUGUUUCUGUUUUUUGUUCCUUUUUUUUUCUCCUUUUUCAAUUUUUAUCAAGCCUAGCCGGCCAGUACCCCCAGUUAGAAGGAUG